Molecule: transfer RNA, 105 nt
Filed under: Pyrinomonadaceae bacterium
Lineage: Bacteria; Pseudomonadati; Acidobacteriota; Blastocatellia; Blastocatellales; Pyrinomonadaceae
Description: tRNA-Val
Source: RNAcentral
GGGUGCAUUUUGCUGAGCAAUUCUGUAAGUGUUGCAACCACGGGAGCUGGAGCGGUACCUUGACACGGUAAGGAGUCGGCGGUUCAAAUCCGCCCGCGCCUACCA